Molecule: ribosomal RNA, 542 nt
Filed under: Bifidobacterium breve
Lineage: Bacteria; Bacillati; Actinomycetota; Actinomycetes; Bifidobacteriales; Bifidobacteriaceae
Description: bacterial SSU rRNA
Rfam family: Bacterial small subunit ribosomal RNA
Source: RNAcentral
GUGGUAAUGCCGGAUGCUCCAUCAUACCGCAUGGUGUGUUGGGAAAGCCUUUGCGGCAUGGGAUGGGGUCGCGUCCUAUCAGCUUGAUGGCGGGGUAACGGCCCACCAUGGCUUCGACGGGUAGCCGGCCUGAGAGGGCGACCGGCCACAUUGGGACUGAGAUACGGCCCAGACUCCUACGGGAGGCAGCAGUGGGGAAUAUUGCACAAUGGGCGCAAGCCUGAUGCAGCGACGCCGCGUGAGGGAUGGAGGCCUUCGGGUUGUAAACCUCUUUUGUUAGGGAGCAAGGCAUUUUGUGUUGAGUGUACCUUUCGAAUAAGCACCGGCUAACUACGUGCCAGCAGCCGCGGUAAUACGUAGGGUGCAAGCGUUAUCCGGAAUUAUUGGGCGUAAAGGGCUCGUAGGCGGUUCGUCGCGUCCGGUGUGAAAGUCCAUCGCUUAACGGUGGAUCCGCGCCGGGUACGGGCGGGCUUGAGUGCGGUAGGGGAGACUGGAAUUCCCGGUGUAACGGUGGAAUGUGUAGAUAUCGGGAAAGAACACCA